This 584-nucleotide long non-coding RNA is filed under the name Anser brachyrhynchus (Pink-footed goose). RNAcentral describes it as "lncRNA (ENSABRG00000012640.1)". Lineage: Eukaryota; Metazoa; Chordata; Aves; Anseriformes; Anatidae. The record is from RNAcentral.
ACUUCGGUCUUUCAUUUUGUUAACUUUGUGUAUAAAGAUUGUGACUAUUUUGUAGAAUUUUCUGCGGACUGAAGCUUGCCAAACAACUCCAAGACAGAAAAAGAGGAAGCAAAACAUGAGGAAGAAGGAAUGCAUGAGUUUAAGAAGAGAAAGGCAAGUUUACACAAAAGAACAAGGAAAAUAACUGACAGCCCUCAAUGUACAAUGACUGUCCUGCGUGCUCCAGGCUAACUCAAUUCUUCUUCCCUCUGGCCAGAAUGCAUGCCACUGGAGAAACAAUUUAUUUCCCGAAACCACGCUGCCUUCAGCAAUUUCAAAUAGCUUUAAAUUAUGUACCCUUGGCCCAGACUUGGAGGCAGAGGAGCCCGUACGUUCAGAUGAAUGGUAAUGAGCAUUGUCAGAGAGGCAGGAAAAUUGAGUCCCCGGCUCUGGCUGCUGGGCUGAGAGCUGCAGGAGCUAAUUGUGUCAAUGGUAAUGAGACCGAGCAGGCAGCAGAUGCUCACGUGCCUUUACAAUCCAAAUCCCACCAACAAAUUCCUCCCACAGAAACUUUGAGGGACGUCUUGGCACCCUGGAGAUGGUGA